Molecule: long non-coding RNA, 3869 nt
Organism: Oenanthe melanoleuca
Lineage: Eukaryota; Metazoa; Chordata; Aves; Passeriformes; Muscicapidae
Exons: 4
Source: RefSeq, a predicted model, not a curated record
GCUGCGCGUGCCGGGGCCGCUCGGCCUGUGGGUGCUCGCCCUGCCUCCUCCCGGCCGCCUCCUGGAGAGGGGUCCGGGCGGCCCGAGAGCGCUGCUGUGGUACCAUCGGGCUCUGGGGACCCGACCCGGGCACGCCUGCCCUGCGCUGUGCGCCUAAGAUUCCCAAAGGAAAAUUAGUUAGUUCCCGGUCCGUGUGGUGGCGGUGGUGUUCACAGCAUCCCCCGGCGCCGCCAUUUCACGUUUGAGUUCAGUGAAGAACGGAGAUUUUAAGUGGCUCGGCAGACAGAGCGUCUGAGCCGUGCGGAGCUGGGCAUAACCCGCAUGUGGGUGCUGGUGACGGCAUGGCCGCUUCUGAGGCGCUGGCACCUUCCCAGAGUAACCUUGCCGUGUAAGCCACGGAAAUCCAUUUGCUAAACGCCGGAGAGAAGCGGGAGGAAAAAAUGCAUUCUCUCUUCCAGCAGACUCAGUUUUAUAAAGACAAGCAGUGCCCCUUCGUACCACUUUAAAAAAGAUGCUGUUCACAGCAGGCUGUGGAUGUGCCCUUGGGACAAAGGUGGUGCAGGAGGGAGAAUGUUCCCACCGCAGAGUUGUUCAAAGACAACAGAGCAGCCUUGCCAUGGCAUCUGCCAGGUCUCUCAGCAGUCACAAAGGUCUCCUGUCUCAUCCUGUGAUUUGUGCAUGUCCAGCUUGUCUAAGUCCCUGUUUGGAUCCAUUGAUACUUCUAACAAGAAAAAAGGUCAAAGGCUCAGCUUGACUUCUCAUUUGGACACAGAAUUCUCUUGCCUACGCCAGGGGUAGUAAUACAAGACUUUUGUGGGUCAGCCAGAGAAGCUGCAGUGGCCUUGUGGCAGAACCCCUCCCAAAAAGAAAAACCAAAAAAAACAACUACUGGAAGAUUGAUUAAUGGAUUUCUUUUUCAUGGUUCUUGCAGAAUCAAUAUGGAAAUGGUACUCGGGCAACAACGACUGACUCAAUCCCUGGAAAGGUCAUGGAGUGCCUCAUUUUGGAGGCCAUCUCUAUUCACAUGGGUGACAAGAAGGUGAUCAGGAGUAAUCAGCAUAGAUUCACUAAAGGCAAAUCAUGUUUGAUGAACCUGAUUGCCUUUUUUGAUUAAACAACCCGAAUGGAUGAGGGGACAGCAAUGAGUACUGUCUACCUUUAAUUCAGUGAGGUUUUCAAGGUGUCUCACAAUAUCCUCAUAGGCAAACUCAGGAAGUGUGGACUGGAUGAGUGGACAGUGAAGUGGAUUGAGAUCUGGCUGAGUGGCAGAUCCCAGAGGGUUUUAAUUGGUGGCAUGGGGUCUAGUGUGAGGCCUGUCACCAGUAGUGUCCCCCAAGGAUCAAUACUGGGCCCAGUAUGGUUUAACUUGUUCAUCAAAGAACUGGAUGAAGGGGCAGAUACCUCCUUAGCAAGUUCACUGAUGACACAAAGCUGGGAGGAGCAGUCAACACCCCAGAAGGCUGUGCAGCCCUGCAGAAGGACCUCAGGUUGGAGAGGUGGGCAGGGAGGAACUGUCUGAAAUCCAACCAAGGGAAGUGCAGGGUCCUGCACCUGGGGAGAAACAACCCCAGGCAGCAGUACAGACCUGCUGAGGAGCACUCUGGAGAAGGAGCUGGGGGUCCUGGUGGACAGCAAGCCAUCCAUGAGCCAGCAGUGUGUCCUGUGGCCAAGGAGGCCAAUGGGAUCUUGGGGUGCAUUAGGAGGAGCACUGCCAGCAGGUCAAGGGAGGUGACCCUGCCCCUCUGCCCAGCCCUGGUGAGGUGCACUUGGAGUGCUGUGUCCAGUUCUGGGCCCCUCAGGAAAACAAAGAUGAUUAAGGGACUGAAGCAUCUCUCUUAUGAGGAAAGGCUGAGGGAGCUGGGCCUGUUCAGUCUGGAGAAGAAACAACUGAGAGGGGACCUCAUCCAUGGCUAUGAGUUUAAAGGAGGAGUGCCAAGAGGGUGGAUCCAGGCUCUGCUUGGUGGUACCAAGGAAUAGGACAGGAGGCAGUGUCAGAAACUGAAGCACAGGAAGUUCCACCUGAAUAUGAGGAAGAUCUUCUUUACUGUGUGCAAGACUGAGCACUGGAACAGAUUGUCCAGAGAGGUUGUGAAGUCUCUGGAUGCAAUCCUGUGCUCUAGGAUGACCCUGCUUGAGUAGGGGGCUUAGACCAGAUGACCAACUUGUGAUUCCUUCCAACCUGCCCCAUUCUGUGGUUCUGUGAGGCAAGCAGCACUCCUUUCUCAGAAAUAAAGGAGGAAAGGAUAAAACUUUAUGCAGAAGAGAUUUUGUCCUCUUAUGACAUCACACUUCCCUUGGGAGCCCUUUCUCAGUCUCUCUCCAUUCUUGUGUGCUGUGCAGGUAUAUACAGCCUAUUCUGCUGCAGCAAAGGAAGAAGAGUUACUCACUGCUGAAUUUGUCAAGGAAAUGUUACAAAGCUGUUAUUUCAGUGUGUAUCACGUAUGCUUCCAUGACUGGCACAUUGCUGACAUACUGCUGUGUCACUCAUGAAGACUAACACCUGGUAUUUCCAUCUCAUGGUACAUGCAAGAGGAAUAAACAUUCAGUGGGACGGAGUCACCACCUUCCCCAUGAAAUAUAGCGGUGUAAGGAUGUACACAGAGGCAGUUUUUAUAAAACAGCUGACAGGCUGCAAGUUUCCAUCCUACAGUUUGCAUCUUGCAGUUUCCUAUUCAUCUGCUCAAAUCAAAAUGCCGAGUCUUGCAAUCCAUCCUUAGAAUAGGGCAAGCUGAGUAAUCAUACAGCUGCUUGCUCAGAGGUGGCUGAGUAGAAGAACUUGCACAGGAAGAAUAUAAGCUUGCCUCCACAGCUGUGAAGUUCAAUCAUUUUUAGCAGACUGCAAACUACUUAUGAAUUCAGUUUGUUAGCAAGGACACUUUUUUUUACUAUUGAAGGCUUUCAUAUUUUCCCACAUGAUCACAAUUUCUCAAAGAGGGGUUGAGGUAAGAAAUAAUGUAUGUUAUCAACUCUUUAUAUUGAAUUUGGCAGAUGCUAUGAAAUAAGGAAUUUUAUAAAUAAGAUGGUAUUAGUUUACUGUACCAAUAGAAUGUUUAAUCAGAGUCAUUGUAUGCCACACACAUUAAAAAAAUUUCAAACAAGUACAGAAAUUCAAAGACAUUAAUAAUGGGUUGGUGUGCCAAAGUCUGUCAUAAUCAGCCUGAAUUUGUGUCAAAAUUGUUUUCCAGAAAAAUGAGAAAAAAAUUGGAAGAGCUAAAUUAAGAUAUAAGGCCAAAGAAUAUAUUCAAAUUUAAAUUUACCUUGCUUUCACUGAUGGAGAGUGGAUCAGUUUUACAAGAAUUGUAAAUGAUGUAUUACUUUAAAUUAUCAUUAAAAAGAUUGCUGUUGAGUAUUUUACACAAUUUAAAUCAGUCUGCUUGUAUGAGAUGUAUGUACAGUGUCUAAAAUAUUGUUUUUAACAUACUGGCUUUGGUUAUUUUCACUGCAUACAUAUUUUAAUACUUAAAGAGGGACCCUUAUUUGCUGAUGUUUCACAUUUUUAAAUAUACUUUAGGCAUUUUUCAUAGAUUUUUUCUAACAUAGCUUCUCUCUUACCAAAAAUAUGUACUAUUUAAAGAAAGCAUGACUUCUGAAAAUGUCGCCUUAUUUAGAGUUAUCAGAUUAAAAAUAUCAGUUUUCAAGGAAGUUUAUCUGUUGUACCAGAGUGCACAAUGGAGACCUUGUGUUGUGCCCUAUAUGAGGAGAAGACUCACUUCUCAAAUAGAGGAGACACAUCCCUCUCUGUAAUUUUGCUGAAGGAAAGUGCUGCUUGUAUUAAAAUUAGAACCUCAAAGUUUUCUGCAGCCAUACUGCAACUGUAAUGAACAAGGCCCAAAAGUGAGGGAAAGGCAGGGAAACUGUUAUGUCUUGGA